RNAcentral lists this ribosomal RNA (1345 nucleotides) under Salmonella enterica subsp. enterica. RNAcentral describes it as "partial 23S ribosomal RNA". It matches the Rfam family "Bacterial large subunit ribosomal RNA", at positions 161 to 1547 of the family's 2925-position model. The record is from RNAcentral. Lineage: Bacteria; Pseudomonadati; Pseudomonadota; Gammaproteobacteria; Enterobacterales; Enterobacteriaceae.
AAUCCAUAGGUUAAUGAGGCGAACCGGGGGAACUGAAACAUCUAAGUACCCCGAGGAAAAGAAAUCAACCGAGAUUCCCCCAGUAGCGGCGAGCGAACGGGGAGGAGCCCAGAGCCUGAAUCAGCAUGUGUGUUAGUGGAAGCGUCUGGAAAGGCGCGCGAUACAGGGUGACAGCCCCGUACACAAAAGCGCAUGUGUUGUGAGCUCGAUGAGUAGGGCGGGACACGUGGUAUCCUGUCUGAAUAUGGGGGGACCAUCCUCCAAGGCUAAAUACUCCUGACUGACCGAUAGUGAACCAGUACCGUGAGGGAAAGGCGAAAAGAACCCCGGCGAGGGGAGUGAAAAAGAACCUGAAACCGUGUACGUACAAGCAGUGGGAGCACAGGUUUACCUGUGUGACUGCGUACCUUUUGUAUAAUGGGUCAGCGACUUAUAUUCUGUAGCAAGGUUAACCGUAUAGGGGAGCCGGAGGGAAACCGAGUCUUAAUUGGGCGUUAAGUUGCAGGGUAUAGACCCGAAACCCGGUGAUCUAGCCAUGGGCAGGUUGAAGGUUGGGUAACACUAACUGGAGGACCGAACCGACUAAUGUUGAAAAAUUAGCGGAUGACCUGUGGCUGGGGGUGAAAGGCCAAUCAAACCGGGAGAUAGCUGGUUCUCCCCGAAAGCUAUUUAGGUAGCGCCUCGUGAAUUCAUCUCCGGGGGUAGAGCACUGUUUCGGCUAGGGGGCCAUCCCGGCUUACCAACCCGAUGCAAACUGCGAAUACCGGAGAAUGUUAUCACGGGAGACACACGGCGGGUGCUAACGUCCGUCGUGAAGAGGGAAACAACCCAGACCGCCAGCUAAGGUCCCAAAGUCAUGGUUAAGUGGGAAACGAUGUGGGAAGGCCCAGACAGCCAGGAUGUUGGCUUAGAAGCAGCCAUCAUUUAAAGAAAGCGUAAUAGCUCACUGGUCGAGUCGGCCUGCGCGGAAGAUGUAACGGGGCUAAACCAUGCACCGAAGCUGCGGCAGCGACACUGUGUGUUGUUGGGUAGGGGAGCGUUCUGUAAGCCUGUGAAGGUGUGUCGUGAGGCAUGCUGGAGGUAUCAGAAGUGCGAAUGCUGACAUAAGUAACGAUAAAGCGGGUGAAAAGCCCGCUCGCCGGAAGACCAAGGGUUCCUGUCCAACGUUAAUCGGGGCAGGGUGAGUCGACCCCUAAGGCGAGGCCGAAAGGCGUAGUCGAUGGGAAACGGGUUAAUAUUCCCGUACUUGGUGUUACUGCGAAGGGGGGACGGAGAAGGCUAUGUUGGCCGGGCGACGGUUGUCCCGGUUUAAGCGUGUAGGUGUGUGUUCCAGGUAAAUCCGGUU